GAUCUGCGUGGGUACGGGCAGACUAGAGUGAUGUAGGGGAGACUGGAAUUCCUGGUGUAGCGGUGAAAUGCGCAGAUAUCAGGAGGAACACCGAUGGCGAAGGCAGGUCUCUGGGCAUUAACUGACGCUGAGGAGCGAAAGCAUGGGGAGCGAACAGGAUUAGAUACCCUGGUAGUCCAUGCCGUAAACGUUGGGCACUAGGUGUGGGGGACAUUCCACGUUUUCCGCGCCGUAGCUAACGCAUUAAGUGCCCCGCCUGGGGAGUACGGCCGCAAGGCUAAAACUCAAAGGAAUUGACGGGGGCCCGCACAAGCGGCGGAGCAUGCGGAUUAAUUCGAUGCAACGCGAAGAACCUUACCAAGGCUUGACAUGGACCAGACCGGACUGGAGACAGUUCUUCCCCUUUGGGGUUGGUUCACAGGUGGUGCAUGGUUGUCGUCAGCUCGUGUCGUGAGAUGUUGGGUUAAGUCCCGCAACGAGCGCAACCCUCGUUCUAUGUUGCCAGCACGUGAUGGUGGGGACUCAUAGGAGACUGCCGGGGUCAACUCGGAGGAAGGUGGGGACGACGUCAAAUCAUCAUGCCCCUUAUGUCUUGGGCUUCACGCAUGCUACAAUGGCCGGUACAAAGGGUUGCGAUACUGCGAGGUGGAGCUAAUCCCAAAAAGCCGGUCUCA
This 674-nucleotide ribosomal RNA is filed under the name Arthrobacter sp. S18(2014). Its description in RNAcentral is "bacterial SSU rRNA". It matches the Rfam family "Bacterial small subunit ribosomal RNA", at positions 619 to 1290 of the family's 1533-position model. The record is from RNAcentral. Lineage: Bacteria; Bacillati; Actinomycetota; Actinomycetes; Micrococcales; Micrococcaceae.